RNAcentral lists this ribosomal RNA (497 nucleotides) under uncultured bacterium. RNAcentral's name for it is "partial 16S ribosomal RNA". It matches the Rfam family "Bacterial small subunit ribosomal RNA", at positions 28 to 507 of the family's 1533-position model. The record is from RNAcentral.
GAUGAACGCUGGCGGCGUGCCUAAUACAUGCAAGUCGAGCGAACGGACGAGAAGCUUGCUUCUCUGAUGUUAGCGGCGGACGGGUGAGUAACACGUGGAUAACCUACCUAUAAGACUGGGAUAACUUCGGGAAACCGGAGCUAAUACCGGAUAAUAUUUUGCACCGCAUGGUUCAAAAGUGAAAGACGGUCUUGCUGUCACUUAUAGAUGGAUCCGCGCUGCAUUAGCUAGUUGGUAAGGUAACGGCUUACCAAGGCAACGAUGCAUAGCCGACCGGAGAGGGUGAUCGGCCACACUGGAACUGAGACACGGUCCAGACUACUACGGGAGGCAGCAGUAGGGAACCUUCCGCAAUGGGCGAAAGCCUGACGGAGCAACGCCGCGUGAGUGAUGAAGGUCUUCGGAUCGUAAAACUCUGUUAUUAGGUAAGAACAUAUGUGUAAGUAACUGUGCACAUCUUGACGGUACCUAAUCAGGAAGCCACGGCUAACUACGUG